AAGCGCAAUAGCCGCGUUUGUAACGGGCGCCAGAAAUGAAACUCAGCCUUCCCUGCCCCAAUCCGGGCCACGUUACCGGCUGCUUUCAAAUCUGACGACAGCUACUUCUCCAUUUGUUAAAUGAAACAGGAAGCUUCCCUCUUGGGGCUGCGCGCAGCAGCUCUUUUCGCUUGUCACAUUUUCUGAGAACGUAUUAAGUCGAGUAAAGAAGACUGUAUUUCCCCGCCGUUUAUUUUGGGAAGCGUUUCUCUUUUGCAGCGAUGCGCCAGAACCGAGAACUUUGAUUCACGUGCAGAUUUCACGCGAGAACGAAUGGGCUUUGAGAAAGUGGAAGUUGCCGCUUUACAGAACCGUACGCAUGAAAGAUGUUUUCUAAAUCGCAUGGGAUGAAGCAACCAGGUUUCAAGAAAGUAGAUGGAUUACAUGGAAAAAUCUUCUAAUUUUAAGGCCAUGGGAUAUUUCUGCCAUAGAAGAUUCCAGGGAAACUAGCUUUUGAAAGAAGUUGGAAUUACUACUAGAUGCAUGGAAAGAUCUAUAUCAUCAAACCUAAAUUUCUGGGACACUGUAAUGUCACUCAGUCCUGCUCUUUAUUCUAGUUUUAUUUUUUGAUGUAACAAUUUAUAUCCUAUCUUUCUAUUACCUGUACUUACGAUUUCGCAGCAUGAUGAUAAACUAUAAAGCCAAUACAAGAGGAUGUGAUGUUUAAAAGUUACUAAGAAUUACACCAUAAAGACAUAAGAAGCCAGAUGUUAUUCUUUGGACUUCAACUCUCUACUGGAAACUGAACCCAUGAAUCCCAAGUAGAAUAAAACGAGUGGCAUGAUAUCUAUCUCCCAGUGGUCAAUGGAAGAAGAUACUUUGGACAGCUUUUACAGGAAAAGAAAAUACUUAGGAUUGAAGAGAGGUUCAGAUCUCACCCAGUCUCAUCUGCACUGCUUUAGAAGUGCCUGGUGGGCGACUCUCGACCCUUUCAAGGGUCCCCCAGUGGAGCGAAACUGAACACAGAAAACGGAGCUUGCCUUCCAGCGGCCGCGGCGGCUGCAAUGGCAAAGUGGAAGUCCAGAUUCUUUACUUUUCCAUGAAGUCUAUGAAGCAGUUCUCAAGUCGAAACUAUAUAUUGUAAUUAGAAAGGUGUUUGCAAAAAAUGCGUGUGAUGAAAUACUGCAUUGAAAAUUAAACUUGCAACAUGUUUAUACGAUUACA
Long non-coding RNA from Crotalus tigris (Tiger rattlesnake), 1203 nucleotides. RefSeq lists it as uncharacterized. The transcript has 6 exons. NCBI's taxonomy places the organism in Eukaryota, Metazoa, Chordata, Lepidosauria, Squamata, Viperidae. The record is from RefSeq and is a predicted model, not a curated record.